Molecule: ribosomal RNA, 706 nt
Filed under: Actinomycetes bacterium
Lineage: Bacteria; Bacillati; Actinomycetota; Actinomycetes
Description: bacterial SSU rRNA
Rfam family: Bacterial small subunit ribosomal RNA
Source: RNAcentral
UGAUGACUGAAGCUUGCUUUGGUUUGAUUAGUGGCGAACGGGUGAGUAACACGUGAGUAACCUGCCCCUCACUUCGGGAUAACCAUUGGAAACGGUGGCUAAUACUGGAUAUGACACAUGGCCGCAUGGUCUGUGUGUGGAAAGAACUUUGGUGGGGGAUGGGCUCGCGGCCUAUCAGCUUGUUGGUGGGGUGAUGGCCUACCAAGGCUUUGACGGGUAGCCGGCCUGAGAGGGCGACCGGCCACACUGGGACUGAGACACGGCCCAGACUCCUACGGGAGGCAGCAGUGGGGAAUAUUGCACAAUGGGGGAAACCCUGAUGCAGCGACGCCGCGUGGGGGAUGAAGGCCUUCGGGUUGUAAACCCCUUUCAGUAGGGAACAAGGCCAUGAUUAUUGUUGUGGUUGAGGGUACUUGCAGAAGAAGCGCCGGCUAACUACGUGCCAGCAGCCGCGGUAAUACGUAGGGCGCAAGCGUUGUCCGGAAUUAUUGGGCGUAAAGAGCUCGUAGGCGGUUUGUCGCGUCUGCCGUGAAAACCCGAUGCUUAACAUCGGGCUUGCGGUGGGUACGGGCAGGCUAGAGUGCGGUAGGGGUGACUGGAAUUCCUGGUGUAGCGGUGGAAUGCGCAGAUAUCAGGAGGAACACCGAUGGCGAAGGCAGGUCACUGGGCCGUUACUGACGCUGAGGAGCGAAAGCAUGGGGAGCGA